RNAcentral lists this ribosomal RNA (158 nucleotides) under Mycosphaerella musae. Its description in RNAcentral is "5.8S ribosomal RNA". It matches the Rfam family "5.8S ribosomal RNA". Rfam says of the family: 5.8S ribosomal RNA (5.8S rRNA) is a component of the large subunit of the eukaryotic ribosome. It is transcribed by RNA polymerase I as part of the 45S precursor that also contains 18S and 28S rRNA. The record is from RNAcentral. Lineage: Eukaryota; Fungi; Ascomycota; Dothideomycetes; Mycosphaerellales; Mycosphaerellaceae.
AAACUUUCAACAACGGAUCUCUUGGUUCUGGCAUCGAUGAAGAACGCAGCGAAAUGCGAUAAGUAAUGUGAAUUGCAGAAUUCAGUGAAUCAUCGAAUCUUUGAACGCACAUUGCGCCCUGUGGUAUUCCGCGGGGCAUGCCUGUUCGAGCGUCAUUU